Molecule: RNA transcript, 760 nt
Organism: Myotis daubentonii (Daubenton's bat)
Lineage: Eukaryota; Metazoa; Chordata; Mammalia; Chiroptera; Vespertilionidae
Gene: NUPR2
Gene name: nuclear protein 2, transcriptional regulator
Source: RefSeq, a predicted model, not a curated record
CGGAGGGGCUCCAGAGGCGCGCGUGCGCCGGCUGCGGGCCAGCCGGGCGCGAUGGACCGGGCCCUUCCCAACGCCCCGAGUCUGGCGCAGCCGCUGCCGGCCGAGGUGUGCUUCGAGGAGGAGCUCUAUGACUGCCCCGAUUACUACUACCUGCGCGACUUCCCGGCCGGUGGGGCCGGGCACAGCAAGGGCCGCACGCGGCGCGAGCGGGAACUGCGCACCAACUGGCCGGUGCCUGGCGGCCACGAGCGCAAGAUCGCACAGAAACUCCUGAACGGCCAGCGCAAGCGGCGCCAGCGCAAGCUGCAGCCCCGGCCGCGCACUCGCCUCGCCUGCGCGCUGGUGCGUACGGGCCAGACCCUUGGGGCCCGGGGAGGCCCGUGAGCGCGAGCGCCGCGGGCCACUUCCUUGGUCCCCUACGAUUCGACCCGGGCACAGUCGCCCCUUCGGAAGCGGCCCCGUCUUAGCGAGUCGCAGGUGGACCCCGUUAGCCCGCAGCUUAUCUCCUGACUGCAGUUGGAAUGGUGGAAGGGGCUAGGGAAGGAUACCGAAGGACCUGAUAAAAAAAAGUCUUGUCUUUGACUCCCGCUGCAACUGGUCUUAGGGGAGAGAAUCCAUGUUGGUCAACAGAAUUUGGUUUUGGCAUCGCUUAAGUUUACUGCUUCAACGGCCAGACUCUGGUUGUUAAGUAACAUCCAAGUGGGUAUGCCUUUUUAGGGUUUUUAAUUAAAAGAGAACAGCAGCAAGAGUGGCAUUUUAA